CCUACGUGGUGCAGCAGUGGGGAAUAUUGCGCAAUGGGCGAAAGCCUGACGCAGCGACGCCGCGUGAGGGAUGAAGGUCUUCGGAUCGUAAACCUCUGUCAGCAGGGAAGAACGGUCACUGUGCUAAUCAGCAGUGAAUUGACGGUACCUGCAAAGGAAGCACCGGCUAACUCCGUGCCAGCAGCCGCGGUAAUACGGAGGGUGCGAGCGUUAAUCGGAAUUACUGGGCGUAAAGCGCUCGUAGGCGGUAUGUCAAGUCAAGGGUGAAAUCCCCGCGCUCAACGUGGGAACUGCCUUUGAAACUGGCAAACUGGAGUGUGUGAGAGGAUAGUGGAAUGCCAGGUGUAGGAGUGAAAUCCGUAGAUAUCUGGAGGAACAUCAGUGGCGAAGGCGACUAUCUGGCACAUAACUGACGCUGAGGAGCGAAAGCGUGGGUAGCAAACAGGAUUAGAUACCCGAGUAGUC
RNAcentral lists this ribosomal RNA (465 nucleotides) under uncultured bacterium. RNAcentral's name for it is "partial 16S ribosomal RNA". It matches the Rfam family "Bacterial small subunit ribosomal RNA", at positions 338 to 795 of the family's 1533-position model. The record is from RNAcentral.